GACGGAGGAUGCAAGUGUUAUCCGGAAUCACUGGGCGUAAAGCGUCUGUAGGUGGUUUAACAAGUCCACUGUUCAAGGUUGAAGCUUAACUUCAAAAAUGCUGUGGAAACUUUUAAACUAGAGUAUGGUAGGGGUAGAGGGAAUUUCCAGUGGAGCGGUGGAAUGCGUAGAGAUCGGGAGGAACACCGGUGGCGAAGGCGGCCAGCUGGCGCUGACCUGACGCUGAGGCGCGAAGGCGUGGGGAGCGAACGGG
This 253-nucleotide ribosomal RNA is filed under the name uncultured bacterium. Its description in RNAcentral is "partial 16S ribosomal RNA". It matches the Rfam family "Bacterial small subunit ribosomal RNA", at positions 524 to 776 of the family's 1533-position model. The record is from RNAcentral.